RNAcentral lists this unclassified non-coding RNA (622 nucleotides) under Gamsia kooimaniorum. RNAcentral's name for it is "sequence contains 18S rRNA gene, ITS1, 5.8S rRNA gene, ITS2". The stretch from base 200 to 353 matches the Rfam family "5.8S ribosomal RNA". The record is from RNAcentral. Lineage: Eukaryota; Fungi; Ascomycota; Sordariomycetes; Microascales; Microascaceae.
GUAACAAGGUCUCCGUUGGUGAACCAGCGGAGGGAUCAUUACCGAAGUUACCCUUCAGGACCCACUGUGAACCAUACCUCUUGCCGCGUUGUCUCGGCGGGAGGCGCUGGGCCUCACGGCUCCGCGUCCCCGCCGGCAGCGCCAAACUCUAAACUGCAAAGCGUACUGCAUGUUCUGAUUUACAAAAAAAACAAGUUAAAACUUUCAACAACGGAUCUCUUGGUUCUGGCAUCGAUGAAGAACGCAGCGAAAUGCGAUAAGUAAUGUGAAUUGCAGAAUUCAGUGAACCAUCGAAUCUUUGAACGCACAUUGCGCCCGGCAGUAAUCUGCCGGGCAUGCCUGUCCGAGCGUCAUUUCUGCCCUCGAGCGCGGUUAGCUUGCUAUCCGCUGCCCGGUGUUGGGGCGCUACGGUCCAGGGCCUCGUGCCCUGUCCGUAGGCCCCGAAAUGAAGUGGCGGUCCCGCCGCGGCGCCCCCUGCGUAGUAGUCUUACAACUCGCAUCGGGACCCGGUGGAGGCCAGCCGUCAACCCAUCUUUCUAAUGGUUUGACCUCGGAUCAGGUAGGGUUACCCGCUGAACUUAAGCAUAUCAAUAAGCGGAGGAAAAGAAACCAACAGGGAUUG